GGGCAGGAUGUGUGAAGUAGGCCCACCCGCAGGCGGGUCGUCCUUCUUCACGAAGCCCUUAUUCGCACUGCGUGCUCAACGGGGAGCUGAUCGGCAAGCUG
Candidatus Accumulibacter is the source of this 101-nucleotide regulatory RNA element. It matches the Rfam family "traJ-II RNA". Lineage: Bacteria; Pseudomonadati; Pseudomonadota; Betaproteobacteria. The record is from Rfam.